UACGAAGGGGGCGAGCGUUGUUCGGAUUUACUGGGCGUAAAGGGCGCGCAGGCGGCUAUCCAAGUCAGGCGUGAAAGCCCCGGGCUUAACCUGGGAGGUGCGUCUGGGACUGGGUGGCUAGAGUUCGGGAGAGGAGAGUGGAAUUCCCAGUGUAGAGGUGAAAUUCGUAGAUAUGGGGAGGAACACCGGUGGCGAAGGCGGCCAUCUGGACGGUCACUGACGCUGAGACGCGAAAGCGUGGGUAGCAAACAGG
Molecule: ribosomal RNA, 253 nt
Filed under: uncultured bacterium
Lineage: Bacteria
Description: partial 16S ribosomal RNA
Rfam family: Bacterial small subunit ribosomal RNA
Source: RNAcentral